Molecule: ribosomal RNA, 307 nt
Filed under: uncultured bacterium
Lineage: Bacteria
Description: bacterial SSU rRNA
Rfam family: Bacterial small subunit ribosomal RNA
Source: RNAcentral
GACGAACGCUGGCGGCGUGCCUAAUACAUGCAAGUCGAACGCUCUCGACCUUCGGGUCAUAUGAGGGAGUGGCGAACGGGUGCGUAACACGUGAGAAACCUACCCCGAAGUCAGGAAUAGUCAGAGGAAACUCUGAUUAAUACCUGAUGUCUUGGGACCACCGCAUGGUGGACCUAAGAAAGCUCCGGCGCUUUGGGAGGGUCUCGCGGCCUAUCAGCUUGUUGGUGAGGUAAUGGCUCACCAAGGCAUCGACGGGUAGCUGGUCUGGGAGGACGAUCAGCCACACUGGGACUGAGACACGGCCCAG